Molecule: long non-coding RNA, 422 nt
Filed under: Gossypium raimondii (Peruvian cotton)
Lineage: Eukaryota; Viridiplantae; Streptophyta; Magnoliopsida; Malvales; Malvaceae
Description: long non-coding RNA (GRAI_LNC007353)
Source: RNAcentral
UUCUUUGUUUUUGCUAUGCUUUCUGGUUUCUGUUGUUCUUUGUUUUUUUUUCCUGUUUUACAGGUGGUGGUGGCAAGGCCAAUGGCGCUAGAGAUCCAUGCAUUUACCAUUUUGGUGUAAUGGUGGCAGAGGAGGUGUCAGGCCUCGGGCGGUGGCCCUAUCGACGUGGCAUGAGGAGCAGCUUUAAAGGGUUUAGGGUUUUGCUAUUAGUUUUAGAUAGUGGGCCAUUAGGCUUUAGAUUUUUGGGCUUUUGGGGUUUUUUUGUAUUUUUAAAUGGACUUUUAAUGGACUAUUUAUUUAUUUUUAUUUAUUUGUUUAUUAUUUGGUUGGGCCGGACGAAAUUGGGCUACUACAGCUGCCCCUCUUUGCUCAUUGUCAUGUAAGGGGAAUGGAGAAAAGACUUAAAAGGUGGACCAAUUUUG